GACGAACGCUGGCGGCGUGCUUAACACAUGCAAGUCGAACGGAAAGGCCCUGCUUUUGAGGGGUGCUCGAGUGGCGAACUGGUGAGUAACAAGGGAGUAACCUGCCCUGUACUUGGGGAUAACUUCAGGAAACUGGGGCUAAUACGUGAUAGGAGCUCCUGCUGUAUGGUGGGGGUUGGAAAGUUUCGGCGGUUGGGGAUGGACUCGCGUCUUAUCAGGUUGGUGGUGGGGUAGUGGCUUACCAAGGCUUUGACGGGUAGCCGGCCUGAGAGGGUGACCGGCCCCAUUGGGACUGAGAUACGGCCCAGACUCCUACGGGAGGGAGAAGUGGGGAAUAUUGCAGAAUGGGCGGAAGACUGAUGCAGAAAAGCCGCGUGCGGGAUGGCGGGCUUCGGGUUGUAAAAAGUUUUCGCAUGUGACGAAGAGAAAGUGACGGUAAUGGGUAAAGAAGCACCGGCUAAAUACGUG
This 468-nucleotide ribosomal RNA is filed under the name uncultured bacterium. RNAcentral's name for it is "partial 16S ribosomal RNA". It matches the Rfam family "Bacterial small subunit ribosomal RNA", at positions 28 to 507 of the family's 1533-position model. The record is from RNAcentral.